RNAcentral lists this ribosomal RNA (569 nucleotides) under Erratomyces patelii. RNAcentral describes it as "LSU rRNA". It matches the Rfam family "Eukaryotic large subunit ribosomal RNA", at positions 64 to 618 of the family's 3401-position model. The record is from RNAcentral. Lineage: Eukaryota; Fungi; Basidiomycota; Exobasidiomycetes; Tilletiales; Tilletiaceae.
ACUGAACAAGGAUUCCCCUAGUAACGGCGAGUGAAGCGGGAUGAGCUCAAAUUUGAAAGCUGGCAUCUUCGGUGUCCGCAUUGUAAUCUCGAGAAGUGUUUUCUGUGUUGGGUCAUGCACAAGUCCCUUGGAAAAGGGCAUCAAAGAGGGUGAUAAUCCCGUACUUGGCAUGAAUUCCAAUGCUUUGUGAUACGCUCUCUAUGAGUCGAGUUGUUUGGGAAUGCAGCUCAAAAUGGGUGGUAAACUCCAUCUAAAGCUAAAUAUUGGGGAGAGACCGAUAGCGAACAAGUACCGUGAGGGAAAGAUGAAAAGCACUUUGGAAAGAGAGUUAAACAGUACGUGAAAUUGUCAAAAGGGAAGCGCUUGAGGUUAGCUAUGCAUGCAGGAUUCAGCUUUUCUUUUGAGGAGUGUAUUUUCUGUAUGCAGGCCAGCAUCAGUUUUGACUGCUGGAUAAGGGUAUGAGGAAUGUGGCACCCUCGGGUGUGUUAUAGCCUUAUACUUGAUACAGCGGUUGGGACUGAGGAACGCAGUGCGCCGUAUGGCGGGCCUUCGGGUACCUUCGCACUUUG